This is a long non-coding RNA of Camelus dromedarius (Arabian camel), 5743 nucleotides long. RefSeq lists it as uncharacterized. The record is from RefSeq and is a predicted model, not a curated record. NCBI's taxonomy places the organism in Eukaryota, Metazoa, Chordata, Mammalia, Artiodactyla, Camelidae. The transcript is spliced from 7 exons.
UUAAGGAAGGGUAAACCUUUGCUUAUAUAUAUAUAUAUAUAUAUAUAUAUAUGACAACUGACUUGCUGCACACUUAAAUGUAAAAUUUGAUUGGCUAAACUAAAGUUAGUGCUGUGAUGUGAGAAAAGAUAUUAGGAGAAAAACAGUUCACCUUUAAAUGAAAACAUUAAAUGGAUCACUUUAUUUGGCGAGAUCAGGGGUUCUCCACCCUGGCUCUACAUUAGAAAUCCCCAGGAGCUUUUAAACUUACUGAUGCCUAGGUUGACCCAGACCAAUUACAGAAGAAUCUUUGGGCAUGAGAUCCAGUUACCAGUAUUUUUUAAAGCUCCCCAGUAAUUCCAAUAGAUAGCCGAGGUUGAGAACCACUGAGCUAGGUGGAAACUCCUACUCUUCAUGGUUGCAUUUCAGAAGAGGUAUAUAUAGAGAGCAUUAAAGUUUGGGAUCAUCAUUUAACUGUCUAAAAGUUCAAACAUUUUUCCAGGUCCUUCUUAGCAUGGUCUGAGGAUCAUCAGCAUUGGCUUCAGGGAUUGAGUUAGAAAUGCAGAAUCUCAAGUCCUCACCCUAGAUGUGCUGAACCAGAUUCUGGAUUUGGACAAGACCUCCAGGUGAUCUCUGUGCACUUUAAAGUUUGAGAAGCACUGUUGGAGGUGGUAUUAGGGUGAAAUUUGGACCCAGAGGCUUGCAGGGAGAACACUGAACAUGGAGUUGAUCAUCUACAAGUCAAGCAGAGAGGCCUGGAACAGAUCCUUCCCUAACAGCCCUCGGGAGGAACCAACCCUACUGAUGCUUUCAUUUCAUUUUGGACUUCUAGCCUUUCUGUGUGUAAGCUGCCACCCUGCCCGGUCUGUGGUACUUUGUUCCAGCAACCCUAGCAAACCAAAUACAUGUAGUGAUCAUGAGUGAGGCCCGUCCUAGGUCCCCUGUACAAUGCUGCUUCUCUGGUCCCUAAAGUCAAUGUUUUUUUCCAUGGUAGUCCCUAAUAUAAUGAUUGCUGAUGUUUACCAGCUGUUGUACCAGCACUGCUCUAGGGGUUCCACACGUAGCAAUUUGUUUAAUCCUCACAAAACCUGUGAGGUUGAUGCUAUUGUUAUUCCUGUUUUACGGAUGAGAAUAUCAAAGGAUGGAGGCGGCCAGUAACGUGUGCCAGGUAACAACAGUAGCAAUAGCAGAUCCUAGAUUUGAAUUGGAAGUCUGGGUUUUGAGCGCGGAUGUGUAAUUCCUACAUUAUACUCCUUUUCAAUGUGGCCAUGUGUGGGGUUUAUAAAAUAGGAAGGACUCAGCAAAAAAGAGGGGCAGGGUGAGUGACUAUUCCUCACAGGUUUUGGGGAUUGGAUGGAUUGAACGAGGAAAAAGGCACCGGCUUUCUCCUCUCUGUCGUCCCCUGCCAACUGGGGGAGAGAAAAUCUGGUCUGAAUCGGAAAUGCCAAGAUGCUGGGAAGCCACUCCUGGGGUUGCAGUAGGUGAGGCGGGAUUGAGCAGGAAACCCCACCCACCCUCCUCGGGCGAGCACGGUUCUUGGAGGGGCUGGGGGAAGGAGGCUGGCUGGUAAACACGGGAAGGGGUUCUUGUUCCAGCUGGAGUGCCUCUGAAGGCCCUCCCAGGAUCCUCCGCACACAGUCGUCUCAGGUGCGAGCACUUGGCCACACCCUGCUGCUUUCCUAGGCCGUGCGCUGUUGCUAAUACGUCAGAAGAAGGCGGGCCCUGCGGAAGUCAGGUCCUGCCUUUAGCACGGAGUUCCUUGGCUGGAAAGAUCGCAGCCCCUCCCUCUGCCCCCGGCCCAAACUGCCUCUCAGGGUUUGGGAGCUGCAACACCGGCAAGUGCGAAACCCUGUCAGCCUUAGAAUUCUCAGCGGCACGGACGGGACCUGGCCACGCAUGGGACGCGUUAGAGGGUUAGUCUGUCAGAGCUGGGAAUCGCCCCCAGGACCCACCCAGGACUCACUCGCCCUCCUGCCUCUCUCGUUUUAAGGUGAUAGCCAAUGACUUUGCUGCCUCCGUCACUGACUGGCUCGUUCCACUGCACUUCCAUGCUGUCCUUGGAGGAGAGCGUUACGAACGGUGUGCCAGGAGGACCAGGAACCUUGAAGGGAUACUGGGCUACAACAGACUCUGAAUUGAGAGAAUAGACGCCUUGGUGGCUCCUCUGGCAAUUCUUGAUGACCAUGGAUGAGCUAAUGGCUGUGGACUCAAUGGUGGCUUCUUGAGUGGAUCAACUGCAAGAAUUGGUCCUAUUUCAACAGGAGGGCCACAGCCAAACUUGUUCUUGGCAAUCACACGGAACAUAUAUUCUUGUCCCUCAAGGAGACCCGUGAUAUCACAUUUGGAUCUUUCAGUCUCUAUUGGCUGUCUCCAGGUAUGCAUCUUAGCAUCUUUUCUUUCAAUGAUAAAGCCUGUGAUGUCACUUCCUCCAUCAUCUUCUGGAUCAGACCAGUUAAGCAGACACAUCUUUCUGUUUGUUACAACAGGUUUUAAGUCAAGAACUGGACCAGGGACAUCUGAAAAAUAAAACAGCAACAACAAAAAAAUCAAUGCAGUAAGACAGUAUCACUCGGGAAAAAUCCUAUGGAAAUCCAUGUAAUAUUCCUUACCAAAAACUUCUACCCUGGCUGCUGCAAAUUUGGAACCACAGCUGUUGGUAGCUGUAAUCACAUAUCUGCCAUGAUCUUUUCUCAAUGCAUCCUUGAUAAUUAGUUCAGAUUUGGUUCCAACGUUCUCUAUUACAACACGGUCUUUAUCCAGGUCUCCUUCUUCUUUGGUCCACACUCUUGUUGGCACAGGACGACCAGUUACCACAGCUGGAAUUCUAAGAGUUUUCCCAGCCAUUAUCUGUAUUCCAGCCUUGACAGAAACAUCUAGUUCCACAGUUGGAGGCUCUGUUGAAAGAGAACAAUCAUGAAAUAAAGAUGAAAAAGAAAAUCCUAUAAAAUAGAUUAACAGGUUUAUACUGUAUAGCACAGGGAACUAUAUUUGAUAUCUUGGUGAAAAAGAAUAUGAAAACAAAUAUAUGUAUAUUCAUGUAUGACUGAAGCAUUGUGCUAAACACCAGAAAUUGAUACAUUGUAAACUGACUAUACUUCAAUUUAAAAAAAAGUUAAAAAAAAAAAAUCCCAUACUGGGAAAACAUCCAUAAUCUUAUUCAUGUGACUUUUAAGUACCUUGUGGUUCAGCCACAGUCACAGGUUCUGUUUCUCCAGGCGGUCCUUCACCUGCAGCGUUGACAGCGCUCACUCGAAGUUUAUAAUCGGCACCCUCUCGGACUUCUUUGACAGUGUACUCACGGGCCUUGAUCAUCUUCUCUGUGCAGCGUGACCAUUCAUUUGUGCCAACCAGCUGCUUAUCGACAAAGUAACCAAUGAUUUCCCCACCACCAUUGAAAGCUGGGGGUUCCCAUGCUAGUUCAAUAGCUGUAGAACUUGUGUCAGUGACUCUCGGGAUAGGUGGCCCAGGUGGAGCUAGAAUGAAUGCAGACACACAAAUCAGAACUCACUGAUGGUUUUAAAAUGUACAGUAGCUUACGCUAUCCCACUUUCUUUUUUUUUCCCCCCAGUGUGUUGCAGGUAUAUGGGUAAAUACUGUUUUGUGAAACUUUCAAGUUAUCUAUACAGAUGUUUGAAAUUUUACAUUGCAACCUCAAGAGACAUGUCUGUAGUCACGUCUACUAUUGCUAGUGUUUAGUUUGAUUUUUUUCCAGCUUUAUUUAAUAGAUCCUAUUGUCAUAUACCACAUGUAAGUUUAAGGUGUACAAUAUGAUGAUUUGAUACAUGCAUAUAUUGCAGAAUAAUUACCACGAUAAUGUUGUACCACAUAAUAAUACCCCUACCCCCUCACAUAAUUACCAUUUUUGAUACCACUUAAGAUCUGCUCUCUUGACAAUUUUCAAGCAUAUAAUAUAGUACUGAUAAUUAUAGUGACCAUGCUGUACCCUACUUUCUUCUUAAGGGAUUACUUACAGAUUGGAUCAUGUGCUGUUUUGGGAUCUGAAGGGGGACUGAACUUUCCAGGUCCAGCUGCAUUUUCGGCACAUACUCUGAAGACAUAGCAGAACAAAAUUUCCCAGCAAAGGACUAACCUACGACUUUCACGCAGGAUGAACACUCCAGGUUGUUGGCGUUUUCCACAGUCACUGUGUAUGUUCCGGCAUCGGAGUCGUCUGCGUCAUUGAUGGUCAGGGCCCGCAGCAAGCCAAUGACACCGGGAACAAUCUUGCCGGGUUUCUCCACCACAAUCUUCCCAUCCUUCCUCCAGACCACGUCACGCUCUUUGUUUAGCUCACAGCUCAAGUACAAUGGCUGUCCUUUGACCACUGUGACUUCCUCUUCAAGAGUUUUUACAAAACGCACAGGAAGUUCUGUAGAGAAUUUCAGUAUUAAAAAUCUGCAGAGACUUUCCAAUACAUACAAUGCUUUCAGUGGAAUAAAACUUGGAAAUAAGACAUUUUGUCUUAAAGGACAAUAAAAAGUUGCUACUGAGGUUUAUUGUGUUAAAGUUUAUUACGGACCACAUUCAGAAGACUGGAAAUUACCUUCAACAAUAAGUUUUGCCGUGGAGGUCUUUUCCUUAUUCCCCAGACGUAAAACACAGGUGUACUCGCCAGCAUCAGAGAGUUGAACAUCAAUGAUGUGCAGCUUUCUGUCUUUACCAUCAGCGAUGAAUCUGUGCUUUGGGCUCUCCCGGAUGUUGCUACCAUCUUUCAUCCAGCUUGUAACUGCAGUGGAGGGGGAGACCAAACACUCAAAGAUUGCAGAGGAGCCAACUGACUCUGCUUCAGUCAAGACAAUGUCUUUGAUUUCUUUCACAAACUUCAGUGGCACAGCCUUUAGCUGUUUAGGAAAAUGCAAGACGACAUACAUAGAUGAGACAAAGAAAACAACAUCUAUUUAUGAACGGAUGAAAUUGAUGGGAGACAAAGAAAGCAACACUCAUGAGCCAGGACCAUAAAAGCUACAGAAACACAAGGAAUCAAUGAGACUACUCUGAUGAUCUUAGAAGAAGAAGAACAUUCUGAGGACCGGGAAGAGCAAGGAGUCAAAGGAAUGGACACUGCUAUGAGCAUUUUCUAGACUGUGAAAUACCUUUCAGAGGUUUCAGCUCCACUUUUUCUGGAACCUGCGGUUUUUCAGGAACUUUCUUCUUCGAAACAGCUUCAAAGAAUAUGAUCUUACUUUUAUUAUUUGUAUAUUUAGACUGGCCUGAACAAAUUAUUAAAUACUUGCUCUAAGAAUCAAAACCAAGCUUUGCUUAGAACCCCAAAGCAAUAAUAACAGCCAAGAACAGCCACUAAAGAACAUACAGGAAGCGUUUAAACCAUGAAAACAGAUUGCUGUUUUACUCCAAAGUUUAGUAAGUUCAAGUCUGGCUGAGAAGGAAGAUAAUUUUUGUUCUUUGCAGGAGGAAGAAAUUUUCCUUUGCAUAUAAAUUUUACAUGAAGGGAAAUGUAUUUAAGUUUGUGUCCUCAUGGAAUAUCAGUCAACAAAUGGGUAGCCUUUUAAGAAGUGCCCACUUUUUCUGUGUCUGCUAAAAUGCCAGAAGCUCCCCCUAUAGGCCAGGAGGGUUGUAGAGAGCCAAGAAUCAGUGGAAACCAUUCUUACUUUGGAAGAUUCUGGUUUUUUCCAUGUAUAGGUGAGUAUGGGGAAAGUGCGCAUCUAAGAUUAUAUCUAGAUUAUUUUAGAUUGGAAAAAAUCUCAUGGCACCACAAAUAAGACAUGUUAUUAAAAUAAAAAGAAUACUGUGAUUGGCUAGUUUA